RNAcentral lists this ribosomal RNA (468 nucleotides) under uncultured bacterium. RNAcentral's name for it is "partial 16S ribosomal RNA". It matches the Rfam family "Bacterial small subunit ribosomal RNA", at positions 28 to 507 of the family's 1533-position model. The record is from RNAcentral.
GACGAACGCUGGCGGCGUGCUUAACACAUGCAAGUCGAACGGAAAGGCCCUGCUUUUGUGGGGUGCUAGCGUGGCGAACGGGUGAGUAACCCGUGAGUAACCUUCCCUUGACUUUGGGAUAUCUUCAGGCAACUGGUGCUAAUACCGGAUAGGAGCUCCUGCUGCAUGGUGGGGGUUGGAAAGUUUGGGCGGUUAGGGAUGGACUCGCGGCUUAUCAGCUUGUUGGGGGGGUAGUGGCUUACCAAGGCUUUGACGGGUAGCCGGCCUGAGUGGUUGACCGGCCACAUUGGGACUGAGAUACGGCCCAGACGGCUACGGUAGGCAGCAGGGGGGAAUAUUGCACAAUGGGCGGAAGCCUGAUGCAGCAACGCCGCGUGCGGGAUGACGGCCUUCGGGGUGUAAACCGCUUUCGCCUGUGACGAAGCGUGAGUGACGGUAAUGGGUAAAGAAGCACCGGCUAACUACGUG